UCCCUUGCUUUGUGUUCACUUACAUAUC
Molecule: non-coding RNA, 28 nt
Filed under: Mus musculus (house mouse)
Lineage: Eukaryota; Metazoa; Chordata; Mammalia; Rodentia; Muridae
Source: RNAcentral